This 148-nucleotide ribosomal RNA is filed under the name uncultured bacterium. RNAcentral's name for it is "partial 16S ribosomal RNA". It matches the Rfam family "Bacterial small subunit ribosomal RNA", at positions 383 to 523 of the family's 1533-position model. The record is from RNAcentral.
CUGAUGCAGCCAUGCCGCGUGURUGAAGAAGGCCUUCGGGUUGUAAAGUACUUUCAGUYGUGAGGAAGGUGGUGUGGUUAAUAGAUGCAUYWCUUGACGUUAGCRACAGAAGAAGCACCGGCUAACUCCGUGCCAGCAGCCGCGGUAA